RNAcentral lists this ribosomal RNA (383 nucleotides) under Rhodomonas sp. Its description in RNAcentral is "partial small subunit ribosomal RNA". It matches the Rfam family "Eukaryotic small subunit ribosomal RNA", at positions 582 to 975 of the family's 1831-position model. Lineage: Eukaryota; Cryptophyceae; Pyrenomonadales; Pyrenomonadaceae. The record is from RNAcentral.
AUUCCAGCUCUAAUAGCGUAUAUUAAAGUUGUUGCAGUUAAAAAGCUCGUAGUCGGAUGUCGGGCUCGGGGAGGCUGUCGGCCUAUGGUCGGACGGCAUGUCCGGGCCUUUCUGCCUGGGGAUCCUACUCUACUUGACUGUAGGGUAGUGGGACGCAGGCCGUUUACUUUGAAAAGAUUAGAGUGUUCAAAGCAGGCCUACGCUUGAAUACAUUGGCAUGGAAUAAUGGAAUAGGACUUUGGUCUUAUUUGUUGGUUUAUGGGACCGAAGUAAUGAUUAACAGGGACAGUUGGGGCCGUUUAUAUUUCGUUGUCAGAGGUGAAAUUCUUGGAUUUACGAAAGAUAAACUUCUGCGAAAGCAUUCGGCAAGGAUGUUUUCAUCA